CAAUAGCGUAUAUUAAAGUUGUUGCAGUUAAAAAGUUCGUAGUUGGAUUUGUGGCGUACGGUGUGUUCCGGGCACUUGUUGUCUGAGUAACCUGCUGUUGCCAUCCUUGGGUGGAACCUGUGUGGCAUUAGGUUGUCGUGCAGGGGAUGCCCAUCAUUUACUGUGAAAAAAUUAGAGUGUUCAAAGCAGGCUUAUGCCGUUGAAUAUAUUAGCAUGGAAUAAUGAGAUAGGACUUUUUUGCUAUUUUGUUGGUUUGCGCAAAGAGGUAAUGAUUAAUAGGGACAGUUGGGGGUGUUCGUAUUCCAUUGUCAGAGGUGAAAUUCUUGGGUUUUUGGAAGACGAACUACUGCGAAAGCAUUUACCAAGGAUGUUUUCAUUAA
RNAcentral lists this ribosomal RNA (380 nucleotides) under uncultured eukaryote. Its description in RNAcentral is "partial 18S ribosomal RNA". It matches the Rfam family "Eukaryotic small subunit ribosomal RNA", at positions 592 to 976 of the family's 1831-position model. The record is from RNAcentral.